GACGAACGCUGGCGGCGUGCUUAACACAUGCAAGUCGAGCGGUAAGGCCCUUUCGGGGGUACACGAGCGGCGAACGGGUGAGUAACACGUGGGUGACCUGCCCUCAGCUCUGGGAUAAGCCUGGGAAACCGGGUCUAAUACCGGAUAUGACUCCAUGACGCAUGUUGUGGGGUGGAAAGCCUUGUGCGGCUGAGGAUGGGCCCGCGGCCUAUCAGCUUGUUGGUGGGGUGANGGCCUACCAAGGCGACGACGGGUAGCCGGCCUGAGAGGGCGACCGGCCACACUGGGACUGAGACACGGCCCAGACUCCUACGGGAGGCAGCAGUGGGGAAUCUUGCGCAAUGGGCGAAAGCCUGACGCAGCGACGCCGCGUGAGGG
This 378-nucleotide ribosomal RNA is filed under the name uncultured bacterium. RNAcentral's name for it is "bacterial SSU rRNA". It matches the Rfam family "Bacterial small subunit ribosomal RNA", at positions 28 to 407 of the family's 1533-position model. The record is from RNAcentral.